AAUCAGUGCAAAAAUCAACAAAGAAUCAACAAGAUCUCUCGCGAUUCUCAGAGAUCCAAUACGGAAUCAUCAUCACCGAAUCAGCCUCUUCGCAAUACAAGUGCGAAUCCAUCACCAUUAGGUUGACGGACUCAAGCACGAUCACGAAGAAGACGCGAAAAGAGAGAAGAGAAGGAGGGUAAAGAAACCGAAUCGGAACCGUGAAACACGCAGAGCGCGCGCAACUCCAGACCGUAAAACAGAGGCAUCAACGGCGAAGAGGUAAUCCUUCGCUUUCUUCACUUUUCCUUUCCUUUUCGUUUCCAAAGAUUUCGCAAGGUUCAAAUUUAGAUCUACUCCG
This 340-nucleotide long non-coding RNA is filed under the name Medicago truncatula (barrel medic). RNAcentral describes it as "long non-coding RNA (MTRU_LNC002513)". The record is from RNAcentral. Lineage: Eukaryota; Viridiplantae; Streptophyta; Magnoliopsida; Fabales; Fabaceae.